Molecule: microRNA precursor, 95 nt
Filed under: Vicugna pacos (alpaca)
Lineage: Eukaryota; Metazoa; Chordata; Mammalia; Artiodactyla; Camelidae
Description: microRNA 340 (ENSVPAG00000017336.1)
Rfam family: mir-340 microRNA precursor family
Source: RNAcentral
UGUACCUGGUGUGAUUAUAAAGCAACGAGACUGAUUUGUCAUGUGUCGUUUGUGGGAUCCGUCUCAGUUACUUUAUAGCCAUACCUCGUAUCUUA